RNAcentral lists this ribosomal RNA (205 nucleotides) under Rhodoveronaea sp. RNAcentral's name for it is "partial large subunit ribosomal RNA". Lineage: Eukaryota; Fungi; Ascomycota; Sordariomycetes. The record is from RNAcentral.
AAGCGCUUAUGACCAGACUUGCGCCUUGUGGAUAAGCCAGCGUUCUCGCUGGUGUUUCUGCUCGGCUCAGGCCAGCAUCGGUUUUCUUAGGGGGAUAAAAGCAGUGGGAACGUAGCUCCUCGGAGUGUUAUAGCCCGUUGUAAUACCCCUAGGGGGACUGAGGACCGCGCUUCGGCAAGGAUGCUGGCGUAAUGGUCAUCAGCGA